This 492-nucleotide ribosomal RNA is filed under the name uncultured bacterium. RNAcentral describes it as "partial 16S ribosomal RNA". It matches the Rfam family "Bacterial small subunit ribosomal RNA", at positions 29 to 507 of the family's 1533-position model. The record is from RNAcentral.
AGUGAACGCUGGCGGUAGGCCUAACACAUGCAAGUCGAACGGCAGCACAGUAAGAGCUUGCUCUUACGGGGGGCGAGUGGCGGACGGGUGGGGAAUACAUCGGAAUCGACUUUUGCGUGGGGGAUGACGUAGGGAAACUUACGCGAAUACGGCAUACGGCCUACGGGUGAAAGUAGGGAAUCUUCGGACCUUGCGCGAGGGAAUGAGCCGAUUUCGGAUUAGUUAGUUGGCGGGGUAAAGGCCCACCAAGGCGACGAUCCGUAGCUGGUCUGAGAGGAUGACUCGCCACACUGGAACUGAGACGCGGCACAGACUCUGACGGGAGGCAGCGGUGCGUACUAUUGGCCACUGGGCGCAAUCUUGCUCCAGCCAUACCGCGUGGAUGCAGCAGCCCUUCGGGUUGUAAAGCCCUUUUGUUGGGAAAGACAAGCAGCAGGUUAAUACCCCGUUGUUCUGACGUUACCCAAAGAAUAAGCACCGGCUAACUUCGUG